Molecule: unclassified non-coding RNA, 146 nt
Filed under: soil metagenome
Description: partial internal transcribed spacer 1
Source: RNAcentral
CUGAGUUUUCAACUCUCCAAACCAUGUGAACUUACCACUGUUGCCUCGGUGGACUGGUGCCUUCUCUCGGGAAGGUGCUGCCGCCGGCGGACUACUAAACUCUUGUUAAUUUUUGGCAUUCUGAAUCAUAACUAAGAAAUAAGUUA